Long non-coding RNA from Capsicum annuum, 334 nucleotides. RefSeq lists it as uncharacterized. The record is from RefSeq and is a predicted model, not a curated record. Lineage: Eukaryota; Viridiplantae; Streptophyta; Magnoliopsida; Solanales; Solanaceae. The transcript has 3 exons.
AAUAGUUGUGAACCCACCUCCUCUUUUUAUCUCAAAACCCUUUUGCUCAAAUCACCCAAAUCGCCAUCAUAACGAUCUACCAGAGAGUGCGUGAAACAUCAUUUGAAAGAUGUUGGAGUUCAAAAUGGCAUCAUUAUUGGAAAAGGAACUUGGGAGGUCGAUAACUCAGGCUGAGACAUUCAAGGCUACACACACUAGGAAGAAAAUCUCGGGAUAUGUUCAAUGAAGAGGUGCGAUAGAGGAGCACAACAAUAAUGAGGAUGAUCAUUUGGCAAACAUAUUAUCGUACUGUUAAAGUCUAGUGUUGCAUUAGACAUCUAAAUUAUGUACUUUG